CACGUAGGGCGCAAGCGUUGUCCGGAAUUAUUGGGCGUAAAGAGCUCGUAGGUGGUUCGGUAAGUCGGGUGUGAAACCUCCAGGCUCAACCUGGAGACGCCACCCGAUACUGCUGUGACUGGAGUCCGGUAGGGGAGCGUGGAAUUCCUGGUGUAGCGGUGAAAUGCGCAGAUAUCAGGAGGAACACCAGCGGCGAAGGCGGCGCUCUGGGCCGGUACUGACACUGAGGAGCGAAAGCGUGGGUAGCAAACAGG
RNAcentral lists this ribosomal RNA (254 nucleotides) under uncultured bacterium. Its description in RNAcentral is "partial 16S ribosomal RNA". It matches the Rfam family "Bacterial small subunit ribosomal RNA", at positions 524 to 776 of the family's 1533-position model. The record is from RNAcentral.